RNAcentral lists this ribosomal RNA (3192 nucleotides) under Porcellio scaber. RNAcentral describes it as "18S ribosomal RNA". It matches the Rfam family "Eukaryotic small subunit ribosomal RNA". Lineage: Eukaryota; Metazoa; Arthropoda; Malacostraca; Isopoda; Porcellionidae. The record is from RNAcentral.
AACCUGGUUGAUCCUGCCAGUAGUCAUAUGCUUGUCUCAAAGAUUAAGCCAUGCAUGUCUGAGUACCUGCCGACCUAAGGUGAAACCGCGAAUGGCUCAUUAAAUCAGUCAUAAUUUACAGGAUGUUGCUAAAUCCUUACUCGGAUAACUGUGGUAAUUCUAGAGCUAAUACGUGCAAUUGGGCUCCGACCUCGUCGGCACGAGUUGUCGUUUCGAGGGAAGGGCGCAUUUAUUAGACCAAAAACCGGGUGGACACGCGCGCGAGGUUUUGUGGUAAGGGUUUGUGGUCUUGUUGUGAAGGCGCUUCCCCUUCUUCUUCUCCUCGCCGUCCAUGCCUCUUCGGUUAUGUGGUGACUCUGGAUAACUAUUGCCGAGCGCUGAGGUCUUCGUACCGGCGCCGUAUCUUCCGAGUGUCUGCCUUAUCAGCUCUCGAUUGUAGGUUAUUCGCCUACAAUGGCUGUAACGGGUAACGGGGAAUCAGGGUUCGAUUCCGGAGAGGGAGCCUGAGAAACGGCUACCACAUCUAAGGAAGGCAGCAGGCACGCAAAUUACCCAAUCCCGGCUCGGGGAGGUAGUGACGAGAAAUAACGAUGUGGGACUCUUCCGAGGCCUCACAAUCGGAAUGAGUUCGAUGUAAAAACGUGGGCGAGGAUCCAUUGGAGGGCAAGUCUGGUGCCAGCAGCCGCGGUAAUUCCAGCUCCAAUAGCGUAUAUUAAAGUUGCUGCGGUUAAAAUGCUCGUAGUUGGAUUUCUGAUGCGGACCGGGAACCCAUCCAAGGCUCGCCCUCGCCCGUAGCGAGUGGCGUCCCGUCGGAGUUCUUCCCGUGUCCCUCCCUGCGGCGGCCGAUGCUUGGGUAUCUUGGCGCGUCCGUCGAGGUGCUCGAGAUCAAACCUCUUCUCCGCCGAUAGUCGAGUGGCUCGGUGCGAUUGUCCCCCGUGAGAGCCUCCAUCAAAGGGGGGUUCGGUCGCUGCUGCCGUCGCAUUUCGGGGUCGCUCUCUUCCCUCUUUUUCGGUCUGCUGUCGCUGUGAAGGCUGACACCGUAGUACUUCACCUGGGCGCGUGUGCGUCGGAAGACGGGAGGCCGGUUGUCGGGUUCGCUGACGCUGAGGUACGCGCGGCUUAUACUCCUCUCCCCGUCGUCUACCCUUUUUUCGCUCGUCCUUCGCGUGGGAUAGGUGUUCGUCUCGUUCGCGUGAAGACCCAAGAUUCGCUUACGCCGUCCCAUGGACGGGUCGGCGCUUGUGUGCGACGAUUCGAACACGCGCGGAGCCUGACUUUGAAAUGAGCGAUUGAGGGCAGUAUCAAAGACGGGUGAUGGUAUUUGACGCGCCUCACGUCACGUUCCAUCUAACGCUGCCGGUCCUCUCCCGCCACACCGUCCGCAAAGAAAGAAUAAGUUGCGGUUCAGUAGCUUCAGCAGCCGUUGAUUAGGAGUUUGCGUAUCCCCGUAUGCGCUAAAGGCGGUAGUGGUGUUUUUCCGUUCCUCCCGGGGGUUUCUAUCGAGGGCGUCGCAUUCUUCCUCUUUUUCGGUCCGGUGAAUGUUUGUUUUUCUCCGAGUUCCCUCGCGGCGUUGUUCGGUUCCCAGUUUUCGGGUAGAUCCCGCCGUUUCGGGGGGUGGUGCAGGCUCCUCGGCGGCGUCCUGGCUAUGGCGCGAGUCCGCGCGCCGGGUGGACUCUUCCCGGCUCCGUGUUUCUCAAAGCCGUCGGCUGUCACGGGGUGCUCUUCACCGAGUGUCCCGCGAGGCCGGCAAGUUCACUUUGAAUAAAUUAGAGUGCUCAAAGCAGGCAAUUAAAUGUUGAACACGCCUGUAUGGUAGCGCAUAGAAUGAUGGAACAGGACCUCGGUUCUGCCUUUUUCAGCCCGGUUUUUCGGAACCGAGGUAAUGAUUAACGGGGACAGACGGGGGCAUUAGUAUUGCGGGGCGAGGGGUGAAAUUCUUGGACCCUCGCAAGACUAACUACUGCGAAAGCAUUUGCCAAGAAUGUUUUCAUUAAUCAAGAACGAAAGUUAGAGGAUCGAAGGCGAUCAGAUACCGCCCUAGUUCUAACCGUAAACGAUGCCAACCUGCAAUCCGUCGGCGUCAUUCCCACGACUCGGCGGGAAGUACCCGGGAAACCAAAGUUUUUGGGCUCCGGGGGAAGUAUGGUUGCAAAGCUGAAACUUAAAGGAAUUGACGGAAGGGCACCACCAGGAGUGGCUGCGGCUUAAUUUGACUCAACACGGGGAACCUCACCAGGCCCGGACAUCGGAAGGAUUGACAGAUUGAGAGCUCUUUCUCGAUUCGGUGGAUGGUGGUGCAUGGCCGUUCUUAGUUGGUGAAGCGAUUUGUCUGGUUGAUUCCGAUAACGAACGAGACUCUGCCCUACUAAUUAGUCGGCGGAUCGACACCCGAGAGGAGUUUUCCGUCCGCGGGGUUUUCGGUCGAGGGUAGCCGGGUCUCCUCUUUGCGUCGUUCCCCUUCGCGGUCGGCUUUGUUCGCGCGUUCGGUGUAUCGGCGAGGCGCUCCGGCGUUGGCGGCGGCAGCGGUCUCCGGUGGUGCGAUUUCGGUCGUUCNCGUCGGUCGUCGCUGUCGUUUUGUCGGCGUCGUUUGUCGUUCUCGUCGGGCCCGGAUCGUGGCAGGGUUCGUUUCGCGUUUGGGGUCGUAAAGCGGCGUUAUUGUAGGAUGUUCUCGGUCCUCGUCCCGCUUCGCGCGGCGGAGCUCAGCGAGGGACGUCCGUCGGUAUAUCUUCUUAGAGGGAUCGGCAGUGUCUAGCUGCAAGAGAAAGAGCAAUAACAGGUCUGUGAUGCCCUUAGAUGUCUUGGGCAGCACGCGCGCUACAAUGUAGGGAUCAACGUGCUUUCCCCUCCGAAAGGAGCGGGUAACCCGUUGAAACCCCUACUCGAUUGGGAUUGGGGAUUGCAAGUGUUUCCCAUGAACGAGGAAUUCCUAGUAAGCGUGAGUCAUCAGCUUGCGCUGAUUACGUCCCUGCCCUUUGUACACACCGCCCGUCGCUACUACCGAUUGAAUGAUUAAGUGAGGGCAUCGGACUGGCGCCUCCGGUAGCCGUCGAUCGUAUCAAACUUUGCUCCUUGUUAAAGGAGUGGGGGCGGUCUCCGGCACCCUAGGCUUGACGGAAAGAUGUCCGAACUUGAUUAUUUAGAGGAAGUAAAAGUCGUAACAAGGUUUCCGUAGGUGAACCUGCGGAAGGAUCA